GGGGGUUCAGGCCCGGGGUGCCUUCGGCCUCCGGGCUCAAAAGUUAGCUACCUGGUUGAUUCUGCCAGUAGUCAUAUGCUUGUCUCAAAGAUUAAGCCAUGCAUUCUAAGUAAAGCAU
RNAcentral lists this ribosomal RNA (118 nucleotides) under Blastomyces dermatitidis. RNAcentral's name for it is "partial 18S rRNA". The stretch from base 49 to 118 matches the Rfam family "Eukaryotic small subunit ribosomal RNA", at positions 1 to 71 of the family's 1831-position model. The record is from RNAcentral. Lineage: Eukaryota; Fungi; Ascomycota; Eurotiomycetes; Onygenales; Ajellomycetaceae.